Molecule: long non-coding RNA, 1126 nt
Filed under: Prunus dulcis (almond)
Lineage: Eukaryota; Viridiplantae; Streptophyta; Magnoliopsida; Rosales; Rosaceae
Description: sRNA ncRNA
Source: RNAcentral
AUUAAAAUGCUUGCAAUAUUGGUAAAUCCGAGUUACUUCAAUUACUGAGCUACUGUUAAUAGACUAUUAUAGUCUUUACCAACAAAGAGUGGAUGAUGAGGCAGUUAUUUCUGUUGAGCAUCAACUAUAGCUCACAUCUUAAAACUUGUGGAUAAAAAUGUCUUCCUAUUUUCUUGAUUUUUACUCUUUGCACCUACUUGUCUUCUGCCAUAGCUAAUUGGUUUUGUACUAUCUGCAAUGAAUUUGAGUCACAAGAUUAAACUUUGAAAUUUUCCUUUCUGUUUAUUUUUCCUUUUAUAAUAAUAAAAGAGAUGAUUUGUGUAAUAAAUCAGAAUCGUUGGCUUUGGUAUUUAUUUGUGUUUUGGUGAACAUGUCAGAUUUGGUUUUUGCAUGGACCUAGGUUAAUUAUGGUAUAGAAAGGAUUCAAAUGUUACAUACUGUAGGAAUAUGUUUAAGAGGAUUGAAGGUGAUGACGUGGUCAGAGACAUUGUAAGGGUCAGUACUUUGACUUCUUAUCUUGUGUCGAUAAAUGUGCUAGUAUUCAUAUAAUAAUUCUUCAUACUCUUUAUCUAAGUUUCUCACUGAUAUGGCCCUCUGGCAUGUAGGUUGCACCAAAGUUAUUUGCAGAGCUCAAUGAACUGCGUGGUAGUUUUAGGGUAUUUUCAUUCUUCAUUUGGUGUAUUUUAUGCAAGAGUGUGGGGGAGAGUGCGGAUCAUGUUUUCUUAUCCUGCCGGUUUAGCUGGAAAUUAUGAUGUUCUAUUUAAUGAGAUUAAUGUUAGUUAGGUGGCGCCACAACACUGUUUAUCUUUUCUGGGUGAGAAAUCUAAAGUAUUGGGUGGUGGAAAGAAUGCUAAAGUAAUACGGGGCUGUAUGAUGAUGGCUAUCAUUUAAUCUAUUUGGUCGGAAAGAAACCAACGGAUCUUCGAAGAUUUUAGGUGGAUGUAAGUGGAGGAGGUGUGGGGAAGGUCAAGUAUCAGGCAGCACUUUGGGCACCUGUUUAGGAACGCUUCUGUUCCUGUCAUUGUUCUAGACUGGAAAGCUGAAGUGUCAUGAAUAUGUUUAGGUUUGUUAAAUUAGAUGUAGCUUGAAUUGUUGUUUUUUCUCUCAUAGAUUCUUGGUGGAUUGC